This 76-nucleotide transfer RNA is filed under the name Chloroflexi bacterium RBG_13_66_10. Its description in RNAcentral is "tRNA-Arg". It matches the Rfam family "tRNA". Rfam says of the family: Transfer RNA (tRNA) molecules are approximately 80 nucleotides in length. The record is from RNAcentral. Lineage: Bacteria; Bacillati; Chloroflexota.
GCCCCCGUAGCUCAAUGGACAGAGCAGCAGCCUUCUAAGCUGUUGGUUGCGCGUUCGAGUCGCGCCGGGGGCGCCA